Molecule: ribosomal RNA, 634 nt
Filed under: uncultured archaeon
Lineage: Archaea
Description: bacterial SSU rRNA
Rfam family: Archaeal small subunit ribosomal RNA
Source: RNAcentral
CCCUACGGGGCGCAGCAGGCGCGAAAACUUUACAAUGCGGGAAACCGUGAUAAGGGGACACCGAGUGCCAGCAUCAUAUGCUGGCUGUCCAGAUGUGUAAAAUACAUCUGUUAGCAAGGGCCGGGCAAGACCGGUGCCAGCCGCCGCGGUAACACCGGCGGCCCGAGUGGUGAUCGUGAUUGUUGGGUCUAAAGGGUCCGUAGCCGGUUUGGUCAGUCCUCCGGGAAAUCUGAUGGCUCAACCAUUAGGCUUUCGGGGGAUACUGCCAGGCUUGGAACCGGGAGAGGUAAGAGGUACUACAGGGGUAGGAGUGAAAUCUUGUAAUCCCUGUGAGACCACCUAUGGCGAAGGCGUCUUACCAGAACGGGUUCGACGGUGAGGGACGAAAGCUGGGGGCACGAACCGGAUUAGAUACCCGGGUAGUCCCAGCCGUAAACGAUGCUCGCUAGGUGUCAGGCAUGGCGCGACCGUGUCUGGUGCCGCAGGGAAGCCGUGAAGCGAGCCACCUGGGAAGUACGGCCGCAAGGCUGAAACUUAAAGGAAUUGGCGGGGGAGCACAACAACGGGUGGAGCCUGCGGUUUAAUUGGACUCAACGCCGGACAACUCACCGGGGACGACAGCAAUAUGUAGGCC